This 329-nucleotide ribosomal RNA is filed under the name uncultured eukaryote. RNAcentral's name for it is "partial 18S ribosomal RNA". It matches the Rfam family "Eukaryotic small subunit ribosomal RNA", at positions 1470 to 1796 of the family's 1831-position model. The record is from RNAcentral.
CCCUUAGACGUUCUGGGCCGCACGCGCGCUACACUGGUGCGUUCAACAAGUUUACAACCUUGAUUGACAAGUCUGGGUAAUCUUUUGAAUGCGCACCGUGCUAGGGAUAGAUUAUUGCAAUUAUUAAUCUUGAACGAGGAAUUCCUAGUAAACGCAAGUCAUCAGCUUGCAUUGAUUACGUCCCUGCCCUUUGUACACACCGCCCGUCGCACCUACUGAUUGAAUGACUCGGUGAAAAAUUGGGACUGUGAAAACAAUUGAUUCAGUUCAAAUGUUUUCGUGGAAACUUUUUUUAACCUCGUUAUUUAGAAGAAGGUGAAGUCGUAACA